GACAGAGGUCCCGAGCGUUAGGCGGAAUCACUGGGCUUAAAGCGUGUGUAGGCGGAUUUGUAAGUACCUUGUGAAAUCCCAUGGCUUAACCAUGGAACUGCUUGGUAUACUGCGAAUCUUGAGCCACUUAGGGGCGACCGGAACAGACGGUGGAGCGGUGAAAUGCGUAGAUAUCGUCUGGAACGCCAAUGGUGAAAACAGGUCGCUGGGAGUGUGCUGACGCUGAGACACGAAAGCCAGGGGAGCAAACGGG
This 253-nucleotide ribosomal RNA is filed under the name uncultured bacterium. RNAcentral's name for it is "partial 16S ribosomal RNA". It matches the Rfam family "Bacterial small subunit ribosomal RNA", at positions 524 to 776 of the family's 1533-position model. The record is from RNAcentral.